GACGAACGCUGGCGGCGUGCCUAAUACAUGCAAGUAGAACGCUGAAGGAGGAUCUUGCUUCUCUGGAUGAGUUGCGAACGGGUGAGUAACUCGUAUGUAACCUGCCUGGUAGCGGGGGAUAACUAUUGGAAACGAUAGCUAAUACCGCAUAAUAGUAGAUGUUGCAUGACAUUUACUUAAAAUGUGCAAUUGCAUCACUACCAGAUGGACCUUCGUUGUAUUAGCUAGUUGGUGGGGUAGCGGCUCACCAAGGCGACGAUACAUAGCCGACCUGAGAGGGUGAUAGGCCACACUGGGACGGGGACACGGACCAGACUACUACGGGAGGCAGCAGGAGGGAACCUUCGGCAAGGGCCGGAAGUCUGACCGAGCAACGCCGCGUGAGUGACGAAGGGUGUCGGAUCGUAAAGAUCUGUUGUAAGAGAAGAAUGAGUGUGAGAGUGGAAAGUUCACACUGUGACGGUAUCUUACCAGAAAGGGACGGCUAACUACGUG
RNAcentral lists this ribosomal RNA (495 nucleotides) under uncultured bacterium. Its description in RNAcentral is "partial 16S ribosomal RNA". It matches the Rfam family "Bacterial small subunit ribosomal RNA", at positions 28 to 507 of the family's 1533-position model. The record is from RNAcentral.